Paramuricea clavata is the source of this 76-nucleotide non-coding RNA. NCBI's taxonomy places the organism in Eukaryota, Metazoa, Cnidaria, Anthozoa, Malacalcyonacea, Plexauridae. The record is from the annotation of a GenBank genome assembly.
GACUCUGUAGCUCAGUUGGUUAGAGCGCUGCUCCGGAAUCGCAGGGCCGCAGGUUCGACUCCUAGGGCUAGGGACC